CUUCAACAACCAUAUAAUCUGACCUGCGCAGCAAUUCCAUACAAAAAGUAGAAGGUGCUGCCACGGACUUCUAGUUAUGUAUACCAAAAAACCUUUAACAUACUUAGAGUUAAUCAUUUAAGUCUGAAUUUUUGGGAAUCCAAAGUGUAUUUCCAAUUUUUGGCCAAAAUAGUCAAACUAAAAACAUAGGCUUAAAUAUUUUAUUUUUCCAUUUCAGUUAUUGUGGCCUAAAUUGUGAAAAAUUAUUUUAAUUCCUGAGAAUUCAAACUUUGAUUAAUAACACUGUAUCUACUGCAAAUGUCAC
This is a non-coding RNA of Pelobates cultripes (western spadefoot toad), 304 nucleotides long. NCBI's taxonomy places the organism in Eukaryota, Metazoa, Chordata, Amphibia, Anura, Pelobatidae. The record is from the annotation of a GenBank genome assembly.